UACCUCAGCGCUCGCUCAGCUCUCCCAGUGUCCAUCAUCUGUAUGAUACGCUCCAGCUCUCUAACCUGUCCGAGUAGAUACUGACGCUCCAUACUCAUCGCCUCAAACUCAUGAUAAGGAACAAGGGGUGGUGCAGAAGAAGUCGAGGGUAUAUCUCUGGGAGGAACCACUGCUGCUGCAGCCAACACAUCCUCUAAAGGGGGUGAAACAGGAGGGUGAGGCUCAAGUCUCUGAGGGGGUGGGGGUCCGUUAACUGUAGUCUCUGAAUACUGGGGAUAUGGAGGAAUGAUAGGGUCUGACAUC
This 303-nucleotide long non-coding RNA is filed under the name Daucus carota (carrot). RNAcentral describes it as "long non-coding RNA (DCAR_LNC006613)". The record is from RNAcentral. Lineage: Eukaryota; Viridiplantae; Streptophyta; Magnoliopsida; Apiales; Apiaceae.